AUACGUAGGUGGCAAGCGUUGUCCGGAAUUACUGGGUGUAAAGGGAGCGCAGGCGGGCGUGCAAGUCAGCUGUGAAAUCCAUGGGCUUAACCCGUGGGCUGCAGUUGAAACUGUAUGUCUUGAGUGAAGUAGAGGUAGGCGGAAUUCCGAGUGUAGCGGUAAAAUGCGUAGAUAUUCGGAGGAACACCGGUGGCGAAGGCGGCCUACUGGGCCGUAACUGACGCUGAGGCGCGAAAGCGUGGGGAGCGAACAGGAUUAGAUACCCUGGUAGUCCACGCCGUAAACGAUGGGCGCUCGUCGUCGGCGACAGACAGUCGGCGGCCAAGCGAAAGCGAUAAGCGCCCCACCUGGGGAGUACGGUCGCAAGGCUGAAACUUAAAGGAAUUGACGGGG
RNAcentral lists this ribosomal RNA (393 nucleotides) under uncultured bacterium. RNAcentral's name for it is "partial 16S ribosomal RNA". It matches the Rfam family "Bacterial small subunit ribosomal RNA", at positions 523 to 918 of the family's 1533-position model. The record is from RNAcentral.